Molecule: long non-coding RNA, 554 nt
Organism: Thunnus maccoyii (southern bluefin tuna)
Lineage: Eukaryota; Metazoa; Chordata; Actinopteri; Scombriformes; Scombridae
Exons: 3
Source: RefSeq, a predicted model, not a curated record
UUCACUGUCCUGUUAGUUUUGUAACACCUGAUAGGUUUGGAGAAAUUACACCUUUUUAUCAUUCUUACUGGUACAUGAACAUACUGUAGAUGACCUCAUGUAACUCCCAGCAUAGCUUCACCCAACUUUCACAUCAUGCAGAGAUGUAAUCAACUAAAAACACCUGUUGGUGAUAGAUGGGGAAGAUCUGACGCUGAGGGGCGAACUGUUCCACAGUCUGGGAGCAGCGAUGGAAAAAGCUGGAGACCGGGAACAGAGAGAAGUAGCUGACCGGAGGAUCUGAGGUGUCUGGAUGUAGAGUACGGAAAAGACAUUGAAUUCCUCCUGAGCACAUCAGGGUCAAAUGAUGGAAUGAAGAGAUGACUUGAACACUGUCAACACGCCAGGCCUUCUGCUGCUCCUCAUCUCUUUUCCCGCAGCCUUUCCCACCAGUUCUCCCUUUGAACCCACUGCUCUCGUAAAGGUGAUACCUCAGCCACCAGACACCAGACACUCUGAGGGAGGAACGACGGUGUCACUGGUGUUACACUGGUGUUACUAUGAUCACUCUGUGA